GAAAUAAAUAUAAAAGCCUAGCGACAUUAACCUACAAAGUACGACUUCUGCACAAGAGGAAGAACAAGAAGAUAUUCAAGCUAAAUAUUAUCAUCGAACUAUAUUGGACAACAUGGUCUUGACAAAAUUAAAAUAAUUUUUGCACUCAUCGCUUUUGUUGCGUUAAUCUCACAAGUUCGUUCAUUAACUGCUGGAAAACGAGACUGGGGAAAACGAAAAAGAGCAUUAAAUCACUUUCAAAAGCAAAGGUGGCCGUCAAUGAAUGACCUUCGCAGAAAAUAUGACAAUUAUGACCGC
This is a long non-coding RNA of Xenia sp. Carnegie-2017, 297 nucleotides long. RefSeq lists it as uncharacterized. The transcript has 3 exons. Lineage: Eukaryota; Metazoa; Cnidaria; Anthozoa; Malacalcyonacea; Xeniidae. The record is from RefSeq and is a predicted model, not a curated record.